RNAcentral lists this ribosomal RNA (549 nucleotides) under uncultured bacterium. Its description in RNAcentral is "bacterial SSU rRNA". It matches the Rfam family "Bacterial small subunit ribosomal RNA", at positions 355 to 895 of the family's 1533-position model. The record is from RNAcentral.
UAGGGAAUCUUCGGCAAUGGACGGAAGUCUGACCGAGCAACGCCGCGUGAGUGAAGAAGGUUUUCGGAUCGUAAAGCUCUGUUGUUAAGGAAGAACGUGUGUGAGAGUGGAAAGUUCACACAGUGACGGUACUUAACCAGAAAGGGACGGCUAACUACGUGCCAGCAGCCGCGGUAAUACGUAGGUCCCGAGCGUUAUCCGGAUUUAUUGGGCGUAAAGCGAGCGCAGGCGGUUAGAUAAGUCUGAAGUUAAAGGCUGUGGCUUAACCAUAGUACGCUUUGGAAACUGUUUAACUUGAGUGCAGAAGGGGAGAGUGGAAUUCCAUGUGUAGCGGUGAAAUGCGUAGAUAUAUGGAGGAACACCGGUGGCGAAAGCGGCUCUCUGGUCUGUAACUGACGCUGAGGCUCGAAAGCGUGGGGAGCAAACAGGAUUAGAUACCCUGGUAGUCCACGCCGUAACGAUGAGUGCUAGGUGUUGGGUCCUUUCCGGGACUCAGUGCCGCAGCUAACGCAUUAAGCACUCCGCCUGGGGGAGUACGACCGCAAGGUU